AGAGUUUGAUUCUGGCUCAGGAUGAACGCUGGCGGCGUGCUUAACACAUGCAAGUCGAACGGAAGUUUAACGCUGACGAGACUUCGGUCAAAUCUUGUAAACUUAGUGGCGGACGGGUGAGUAACGCGUGGGUAACCUGCCGUAUGCAGGGGGACAACAGUUGGAAACGACUGCUAAUACCGCAUAAGCGCACGGUUUUGCAUGAAACAGUGUGAAAAGAUUUAUCGGCAUACGAUGGACCCGCGUUUGAUUAGCUAGUUGGUGAGGUAACGGCCCACCAAGGCUACGAUCAAUAGCCGGCCUGAGAGGGCAAUCGGCCACAUUGGGACUGAGACACGGCCCAAACUCCUACGGGAGGCAGCAGUGGGGAAUAUUGCACAAUGGGGGAAACCCUGAUGCAAGCGACGCCGCGUGAGUGAAGAAGUAUUUCGGUAUGUAAAGCUCUAUCAGCAGGGAAGAUGAUGACGGUACCUGACUAAGAAGCCCCGGCUAACUACGUGCCAGCCGCCGC
This 511-nucleotide ribosomal RNA is filed under the name uncultured bacterium. RNAcentral's name for it is "bacterial SSU rRNA". It matches the Rfam family "Bacterial small subunit ribosomal RNA", at positions 8 to 518 of the family's 1533-position model. The record is from RNAcentral.